This 199-nucleotide ribosomal RNA is filed under the name uncultured bacterium. Its description in RNAcentral is "partial 16S ribosomal RNA". It matches the Rfam family "Bacterial small subunit ribosomal RNA", at positions 1301 to 1500 of the family's 1533-position model. The record is from RNAcentral.
CAGGCUGCAACUCGCCUGCACGAAGUUGGAAUUGCUAGUAAUCGUGGAUCAGCAUGCCACGGUGAAUACGUUCCCGGGUCUUGUACACACCGCCCGUCACACCAUGGGAGCCGGUAAUACCCGAAGUCAGUAGUCUAACCGCAAGGAGGACGCUGCCGAAGGUGGAUUGGCGACUGGGGUGAAGUCGUAACAAGGUACC